UCCAUUUUCAGGUUAAGGAGAUUGCGAGAAGAUUAAUUGAAGAGCAGGAACAUAACUUAGAGGAUAUUUCACUUCGUUAGAAGGAACUUCUCACCCAUAGAGUACAAUGCUAUUAAAUGCUCUUGAGGAGAUGAAAAAGGUUGGCUUUUGGAUAUGCUCAUGAAGAUGACUUCAGUUUGACACAAAUUGCUGCUUUAGUCUAUGUUUUUGUUUGGAAAGAGUACUUUGUUUUUUUUUGGAUGUGUAAUGGCUGUUACUAGUUGAACUGAUGUGAACUUAGUACUCUAUUGUUUGGAUGGAUAAUGGCUGUUAGUACUUGAACUAA
This is a long non-coding RNA of Coffea arabica (coffee), 325 nucleotides long. RefSeq lists it as uncharacterized. The record is from RefSeq and is a predicted model, not a curated record. NCBI's taxonomy places the organism in Eukaryota, Viridiplantae, Streptophyta, Magnoliopsida, Gentianales, Rubiaceae.